AUCAGUUUUAGCCUCAACCAUCUUUAAUAAACCAUCUGUGAGAUUAAGGAAUCAAAGGGAAACAUGUUGCUUUCCAUAAUUGUUUUACAUAUGGGAGGUAAGUCAUGAGAAGCUCUAAGGCUUUUAUUUAGCAUUUGUAUGUUUUCUUGAAAAAUAUGUUAAUGUGGAGGACAAGUUAUUGGUACCUAUGUUUAAUAUGGUAUCCCUUGUAGAUGGAAUUUUGACUAUGAAAAAUAUAACAAAUGCUGAUAUUAUUAUUAUUGUUUAUAAUAUAUAUGUACUCACCGAGCUACAUAAGUACCAUUUUGUUUGUAUCUGACAUUGAGAGUGUUCAGUUUUGACUACACAUGUCUAAAGUUUGCCCAAAAUUUGUAGGUGUUCUAGAUAGCAUCACAAUGUUAGCUGCUUUCCAUGGCUGAGAUGCUAAUGGUUAGUGUAUGAAGUUAGUUCUAAGGUUUUCAUUCUUCAAUCAAAAUUAGCAUAGCACAUUAAAUAGUAGUUGUCUUCUUUGUAAAUUCUUUUCUAAUAUAGAACAUAUAGUGGACUUUUAUGUUUUGAGUAAGUCUAUAAUGUGCCCUAGUGUUUUAUGUAAAAUGACAAAAAUUAAGAUUUCUAGUGACGGGUCUUUUUUUUUUUUUGCUAUUCCAGUAUUGAAUCUGACCCACGUCUCUGCAUGAUGCCACAUCUCCCAGCAGAUGGAACAGCAAAGAAAUCCAACUGAUUUUAAAGUUUAUCAGCUAGGCCGGUAUCUCUGAUGAC
Pelobates cultripes (western spadefoot toad) is the source of this 759-nucleotide non-coding RNA. NCBI's taxonomy places the organism in Eukaryota, Metazoa, Chordata, Amphibia, Anura, Pelobatidae. The record is from the annotation of a GenBank genome assembly.